Molecule: long non-coding RNA, 242 nt
Filed under: Oryza brachyantha (malo sina)
Lineage: Eukaryota; Viridiplantae; Streptophyta; Magnoliopsida; Poales; Poaceae
Description: long non-coding RNA (OBRA_LNC002213)
Source: RNAcentral
AUCGUCCAUUGCGAUGGCAACUCUCCGCGUAAAAGUAAACUAAAAAGUUAACAUCUCAACCAGCUAGAUUGCAAGUUCCCAAACGCGGAUCGUGCAAAGCUGCCACUAAAUCAUCCCACCGAAACGAGCGAAACAAGACGAAAUCACGCGCCGCAAACCACGAGCCACCUACGAACCCAGCGCGGAUCAGCCGAAUUCCCGCCGGAUCUGCCGGAAUGGAGCCCGAAUCAGACAGAAUCGCG